Molecule: long non-coding RNA, 1316 nt
Filed under: Heterocephalus glaber (naked mole-rat)
Lineage: Eukaryota; Metazoa; Chordata; Mammalia; Rodentia; Bathyergidae
Description: lncRNA (ENSHGLG00100036288.1)
Source: RNAcentral
CUAGAAAUGACGAGAUGGGCGUGCUCCUGACUCUUGACCAUUGGGAAAUCUUCCCAGCCUGGUAGCACGCCAAGCCUUGGGGGGUUCAGUGGCGGAGGCGGCUAUCUUUCUGGGAUAGGGGCUGAAUUGUUCCUUUGCUGCUUUUGCUACCCUGUGGGUGCCAUGUUUUAUCUCCUCUGCGAUACCUGUUUGCCAUCCCUGCCUUGGAGCCAGGUGAUUAUGGACUGAAACUUCUACAAAUUUGCACGUUGUUCAGAAUACUAAGAAGCUCCUGGCCAGACAUGGUGGUACAAGCCUAUAAGCCCAGCACUCAGGAGGCAGAGGCAAGAGGAUCACUGAGUUCAAAGCCAGGCUGAACUACAUAGUAAGACCCUGUCUCAAAAAAAAAAAAAGCUCCUGAUAAAAGAGGAAGACGAGAGAGGUAACAAGAAUGGCCUGCCACACAGGAAAGGAAAACUAAGCACUUGUACUGUCAGGUAAGCAAAAUGUGUGCAUGGAAUAUAUAGCUGUCAUGUGAAGAUUGCCUUGGGUGUGACAAUUGAAGAAAAGAUUUUUUUGAAAGGAUUGUUUUUGUUGUAGAGUUCUGUUGGUAUUUUCGUUGUAGUUCAUAGAGGAUUGCAAGUUCCCCACACACCCCCUUGGUACCAGGGCUUGUAUGUAGUUCAUAGAGGAAUGUAUUUCUGAUAAUUAUCUUUUAGGUUUUGUAAGUAAGUACACAGCUGAUGUGAGAAUGUUGAUGUUUAUUCUAAACAUGUAAUAUGUAUUAAGAAUUUAAUACUUUAGUGUAUUGAUAUUUUAUGUUCCUCUUAACUACACAUUGUAUAAUAAAAACUUCCUAGCUGGGUGUAGUGGUGCUGUAAUCCCAGCACUUGGGAGGCUGAGGCAGGAGAAUUGCUUUGAGUUGGAAGCCAGCCUGGGCUACAUAGUGAAUUCAAGGCCAGCCUGAACUACAUAGGGAGACCUUGUCUCAAAACAAACAAACAAACAAAAGACUCCUGACAAAAUAGCAAGACCAACAAGAUGUCAAGUAGGAAGGUACAAGUUCCCAAUGAGAAAUGUAAAUGUAUUGUAUACCUAAAAUGUACCAAUAAAGGAAGUUAAGGAAAAAAAAAGAUGUCAAGUAUGUCUUACAAAAAGGCCAGGAAAGCAAAACACAUAUGCUGUCAGUGUAAGUAAUACAUGUGUAUUGAAUGUGCUGUUGUCAUGUGUGAAGACUAAGUUGUAAUAAUUGAAGUAAAGAUUAUUUUCUGUAGAGUUUGUUGGCAUUUUCUUUGUAGUUCAUAUAGGAAUUUCUGUUGGUUUUUUUAAGACUUUGU